Molecule: ribosomal RNA, 301 nt
Filed under: uncultured bacterium
Lineage: Bacteria
Description: partial 16S ribosomal RNA
Rfam family: Bacterial small subunit ribosomal RNA
Source: RNAcentral
CAGCAGCCGCGGUAAUACGAAGGGUGCAAGCGUUACUCGGAAUUACUGGGCGUAAAGCGUGCGUAGGUGGUGGUUUAAGUCCGUUGUGAAAGCCCUGGGCUCAACCUGGGAAUUGCAGUGGAUACUGGGUCACUAGAGUGUGGUAGAGGAUAGUGGAAUUUCCGGUGUAGCAGUGAAAUGCGUAGAGAUCGGAAGGAACAUCUGUGGCGAAGGCGACUAUCUGGGCCAACACUGACACUGAGGCACGAAAGCGUGGGGAGCAAACAGGAUUAGAUACCCCUGUAGUCCCUGUCUCUAUACA